GACGAACGCUGGCGGCGUGCUUUACACAUGCAAGUCGAACGGUGAAGGUGGAGCUUGCUCCGCCGGAUCAGUGGCGAACGGGUGAGUAACACGUGGGCAGCCUGCCCCUAACUUUGGGAUAACCACUCGAAAGAGUAGCUAAUACCGGAUAUGAAGUCUGUAGGCAUCUAUGGAUUUGGAAAGUUUUUCGGUUAGGGAUGGGCCCGCGGCCUAUCAGCUUGUUGGUGAGGUAGUGGCUCACCAAGGCGACGACGGGUAGCCGGCCUGAGAGGGCGACCGGCCACACUGGGACUGAGACACGGCCCAGACUCCUACGGGAGGCAGCAGUGGGGAAUAUUGCGCAAUGGGCGAAAGCCUGACGCAGCAACGCCGCGUGCGGGAUGAAGGCCUUCGGGUUGUAAACCGCUUUCAGCAGGGAAGAAGCGAAAGUGACGGUACCUGCAGAAGAAGGACCGGCCAACUACGUGCCAGCCGCCGCCGUAA
This 483-nucleotide ribosomal RNA is filed under the name uncultured bacterium. Its description in RNAcentral is "partial 16S ribosomal RNA". It matches the Rfam family "Bacterial small subunit ribosomal RNA", at positions 28 to 523 of the family's 1533-position model. The record is from RNAcentral.